This is an RNA transcript of Stegostoma tigrinum, 5331 nucleotides long. It is a transcript of the gene named WW domain-binding protein 2-like, with no coding region annotated. The record is from RefSeq and is a predicted model, not a curated record. NCBI's taxonomy places the organism in Eukaryota, Metazoa, Chordata, Chondrichthyes, Orectolobiformes, Stegostomatidae. The transcript is spliced from 7 exons.
GCCCGGUGUCGCUCCGUUUCCAGACAUUUCUGUCCGUCAGCCCGGUGGGGAGAUGGCGAUCAAUAAACCGGGGCAGCCCGGUCACCAGAGGUGAGGUGCCAGACGACAGGAGGUUGGCUAAGAUGGUGCCAUUCUUUAAGGAAAGUGUUUUCUGAUGUUUUAUGACUAUGUGGAGCUGUCAGUCAAGAACAAGAGUGCAACAUUGGAGAUUUUCAACAGUUCAAGGAAGGGAACUCUUUACCUGUUGCCACAUCAAAAAUACUGGACAAGUAGGGGUGACGACACUUGAAAUGAAAGCAGUACCAACAGAAGCAAAGUUAAGACACAGACACUAUGUGAUCAAACACAGUGAAGAGCUGCAGAUAUAAUGUACUUGAUCCUGUUGUGCAGCUGAGGUUCUCUUUUUGUCAAAAGAUCUCAAACAGGCGCUGAAAUCCUUCACAAUGCCCCUUUCUCUGAUGAAAGACUGUAAAAUCAAGCAGCCAAAGUUCAGGCCAGGCUACAUCAAAGGACAUAUCGAAGCUGCACCAAAUGGGCGUGAGACAGGUUCCCUGUCCGAUUAAGGGGGGUACACAGCAUGUCAACUGGAUCAAAGGGCUUUGAACUUCAGAGGAAUACCUGACUAAAGGUAAGUAACUGAGAGAACACUUGAAUAUGAGAUUGUCCUGUCAGCAACGGAAGUUUAAAAAACUUAAUUAACAAACACCUAAGCAGCCAGACCAACAAUGUGAGCAGGGAACUCUUCUACAGCACAGCCUUUGGGGGUACACAGAAAGCAGAGAGGGCCUGUAGAUUCUGGCUCCUGUCGUGCUGUUAUGUACUCUAUUAUGGGCACAUGAUCUGUUCCGCACUGCAUUGAAGAAAUGGGUGCUUGGUUGAAAAAUACUGGUUGCCAUCUUAAAUGUAUCUUUAACACAGUUCUCAGUGAGGCAAACUGCCUUCCUACCUCAUUAGAUGAUAAGAAAUAGGAACAAGUAGGUCAUUUAGACUCUCAAGCCUGCUGCUCCAUUCAAUAAGAUCAUAGUUAAUCUGACAUUCAUCAUGUCCACUUUCUUCCCCUUUCCCCAUAACCCUUGAUUUCGCUACUGAUCAAGAAUCUAACUUUCUCAAUAUUAUAUAUAAACAAGGACUCUACUCCCAUAGCUUUCUGUAGAAAGGAGUUCCAAAGACACUUAGCCCUCUGUGAGAAGAAUUUGUUUCCUUGUCUCAAUCUUAAAUUGGUGCCCCUUUAUACUGAAACUGUGCUCUGUGGUCAUGAGGGGAUGACAACCGCUUAGCAUUUACCCUGUGAAUCCCCUGAAGAAUCACCUUUCAUUCUUCUACACUCCAGUGUGUAGAGUGUCAAACCUGUUUAGCCUUCUCCCAUAGGACAGUGUCCUAAUGCACCUUCUCUGAAUUGUCUCCAGUGAAAUGAUACCUUUCCUUAAACCAGGGGACCAAAACUGCUCAUAGUACUCCAAAUGUGGUUUCAUCAGUACUUUGUACAGUUGCAGUAAGACCUCCAAGCCCUUUGAAAUAAGCCUUCAUGCUGCAACUGUGUUCUAGUUUUGUGUUUCAUGCACUGUUACCCCCAAGUCCUUUUAUGUUGCAGCUUUCUGUUGUUUUCUCCAUUUAAAUAAUACUGCUCAAUCCGAGAUGAACAACUUCACAUUUUCCAAAGUGUACUCAAUUUUCCAACUCUUGCCCACUUACUUAACCUGUCAAUAUUACUGUAAACUAUUUGUACUCUCUUGCACGUGACUUUCCAACUAUUCUAGUGCCAUCUACAAUUGUGGCAAUACUACACUUACUUCCUUCCUCCAAGUCAUUUAUACAUUUCGUAAACAGUUGCAAUCCCAGCACUGAUCCCUGUGGAAUCUCAUUGCUCAGAGGUUGCCAACCUGAAAAUAAAAAUCCCUUAUCUCCAGUUACAGUUUCCUGCCCAUUUGCCCAAUUCUCUCUUCAUGCAAAUUUACUAUCUCCAUGGGCUUUUAUGACUUAACGUUUUGUGAGGUACUUUGUCAAAUGCCUUCUGGAAGACCAAAUACAACACAUUUACUGAUUCCCCUCUAUUCACUCUGGUUGACACUUCUUUGAUAAAUUAGUGAGACAGUACUUCCCUUUCAUGAAGCCAUGCUGAUUCCUUGAUUGAAUUAUGAUUUUCCAAAUGUUUUGCUAUUACUUCCUUAAUUAUUGAUCAAACAUUUUAUGAACAAUAGAUGUUAGGCUAAUCGGCCUAGUUAUCCGCUUCUUGCCUACCUCUGUUUCUAACUAAGAGUGUCACAUUGGCAGUUUUCCAAUUCUCUGGUACUUAUGCAGAAUCAAAGAUUUUUUAAAAAUUACAGCCAAUGCAUCCACUGUCUCUGUAGUUACUUCUUUAAGGAUCAUAGGAUGCAGGUCAUCAGGGCCAGGGGACUUAACUGCCUUUAGACCCAUUAAUUUGUCUGAUACUAUUUCUCUAGCAAUAGUAAUGGUACUUAAUUCCUUCCCUCUAUUCUCUAGUAUUAAUGGAAUGUUUGGAAUAUCUUCCACAGUAAAAACUGAUGCAAAAUAUCUGUUUAGCUGUUCUGCCAUUUCCUUGUUCCCCAUAACUAGGAAGUCUCCCCAGGUUCUUUGUCUAAAGCGGCCAAUGUUCAAUUUGAUCUCUGUCUUCCUAUUUUUAUAUUUUAAAAAGCUUUUAAUGUCAGUUCUUAUAUUCCUAGCUUGUUUGCCCUUAUAGUUUAUUUUCUACCUCUUUAGUCGUCCUUUGCUGGAUUCUGAAUUUAUCCCAGUUCUCUGAUUUUUACCUCCUAUAUGCUUUUACUUUCAAAGUUAUGCUUUCAUUAACUUAAGAUUAGCCAUGGUUGGUUUAUCCCUCGGUUAGAAUCUUUCCUGCUUACUGGGAUAUAUUUUGCUGACAGCCAUAAAUUACCUCCUUAAAUAUCUUGUGGGGUGAAUAACAUUAUCAAGCCUCGAACAGUCUCACCGAAAAUGGUUACUGUUUCCCAAAGCUGAUAUUCUUUUCCGGCCACCUACUUCAACCUGACCUCUGUUUACUGACUCCAAAGAGCCUGAAAAUUCAGUACAUCUUAUUUCCAGAGAUUAACAUUGUAAUCAUUGUAAGUUAUGGAACGCGUCAUCAACAGUGCUUUCAAGCAGCACUUGCACAGCAAUAACCUGCUUGCCGAAUCUCAGUUUGGGUUCCGCCAGGGUCACUCAGCUCCUGACCUCAUUACAGCUUUGGUCCAAAUGUAGGAAAUAGAGCAGAAUUCCAGAAAUGAGGUGAAAUUGACUGCCCCUGAUAUCAAAGCCAUAUUUAACGGAGUUGGCAUCAAGGACCCUCAGCAAAACUGGAGUCAAUGAGAACUGGGGGAAAACUGUGCACUGAUUGGAACUAUACCUAGUACAAAGGAAAAUGAUUGUUGUCAUUGGAGUUUAGUCAUCUAAGCUCCAGGGCAAGGUGUAGAGCUGGAUGAACACAGCAGGCCAAGCAGCAUCAUAGGAGCAGGAAGGCUUCUUCACCUGCUGUGUUCAUCCAGCUCUACACCUUGUUAUCUCGGAUCCUCCAGCAUCUGCAGUUCCUAUUAUCUCAGAUCCAGUGCAUCUUUGCAGAAGUUCCUCAGGGCAGUGUCCUAACGAAAAAUAUCUUCAGCUGCUUCAUUAAUGACCUUGCCUCCAAAAUAAAGUCAGAGGCGGGGAUGUUCACUAAUGUUUGCACAAUGUUCAGCUUUGUUUGUGACUCAAAUGCGAUGGCCGUUUCAACCAAAAGAGAAUCUAACCAGUGCUUCUUGACAUUCAAUGGUGCAACCAUUGCUGAAUCCCCCAUUAACACAUGCUGGGGAGUUACCAUUCACCAGAAACUGAACUCGACUAGGCAUAAACAGAAACUGCUGGAGAAACUCAGCUGGUCAAACAGCAUCUCCGGAGAGAAAGCAUAGUUAACAUUUUGAAUUCAGUGACCCUUCUUCCCUCUCUAGCAAUUUCCAUUUUUGUUUGAGAUUUCCAGCAUCUGUAGCUUUUGUUUUAUUUUAGUAGUGUGUGUUCUGGCUUUACAAACAGGCUCGAGAAGAAUCUUGCAGUGAGUAAAUCAUUUUCUGACUUCCUUCCAAUACUCAUUAGCUGCAGUGUGUACUGUCUACAAGAUGCACUGUAGAAAUUCACCAAGGAGCCUUACAUAGCACCUUCCGAACCCAUGACCACCAUCAUCUAGAAGGUCAAGGGUGGCAGAUACUCUGGAACACCACCACCUGUCUGUUCUUCUCCAAGCCACACACCAUCCUAACUUGGAAAUAUGUCGCAGUGUCACCCAUGUCAAAAUCCUGGAAUUUUGGUCUUCCAGCAGCACGUGGAUUGCAGCAUUUCAAGAAGGCAGCUCUCCAACCCCUUCUCAAGGGCAGCUAGGGCGACAAACACUGGCCCAACCAGAAACACCCACAUCUGUAAGUGCGUUAAAAAAUCACCCUGUUGAAAUAAAUUGAUUGAUUGGUACAUAAGUUGAAGGAUUCAAAAGUUGUGAAGGCUUUUCAUCGGACCGGGGUAAGUUACCAUAGUGCAGAUGUAGUGUUAAUGGAAACUAGGCAGUUGGAAAGAUAGAACAAACUGAUGAGAAAGUUGGUAAAUGGGGUGUCAUUGGUGGGGCAGGUAGGGAUUUGGAUAUGCUGGGAGGAUGGGAAUGAGAUAUGGGAGAAUGCAACUGGAGUAUGUUGAAAAAUUGUGUAAGUAAAUUGAAGAGUGGGGGAUGUGGGGUCAGUUGAGUAUAUAUUGGAAAUUAGGAAUAUGGUGAAUUGUUGGAUAUGAGAUAUUUGGUAUGCGAUGAGGGAAUAGUGUGGAGAGAAUAUCUGAGGGUGAGGGAUACAGUGAGAUGAUUUCUGAGCUGUUGCCACAUUUGUUGGGCCUAUCCUGAUGGAAGUUGGAGGAAAAAGAGUGGGUGGUGGAGGAGAUGUAGAAUGGGCAGGAGGAGGCAGGGAUGAUGAGUGGAGAAGGGUUGAUGAUGUGGAGUGUUGGAGAGGGAAUGGAACUUGCUCACCGCCGCCACCACCUGUUCCCCCGGCUCAGAAUAAAACCUGGAAUUAACACAUCCUCCUCAAAGUUUUACCUAGGGUCAUGUGAAGUCUGAAGCAUUAAAAUGAGUUCACAUUGGCAAAAAGAUUGGGAAACACUAGCUUAGAACUUAGUCUGAGAAAAUCAGAAAAACUUUGAUGGAUUCUUGUUUUUUUUCCACUUCAUUCUAAUCCUCUUUCUCUUCCACAGGAGGGUGGGUAGGUUCUGCAACAUUUAAACUUACCUUUCACAAUGGAGGGGCCAACGAAUUUGGACAGUUGAUGUUACAGUUACAAGCUGACGAAUUUAAAAAGCAUGGUUUGGUUUCAGAUC